RNAcentral lists this ribosomal RNA (1009 nucleotides) under human metagenome. Its description in RNAcentral is "bacterial LSU rRNA". It matches the Rfam family "Bacterial large subunit ribosomal RNA", at positions 1915 to 2925 of the family's 2925-position model. The record is from RNAcentral.
AAGCCCCAGUAAACGGCGGCCGUAACUAUAACGGUCCUAAGGUAGCGAAAUUCCUUGUCGGGUAAGUUCCGACCCGCACGAAAGGUGUAACGAUUUGGGCACUGUCUCAACGAGGGACCCGGUGAAAUUGAAAUACCUGUGAAGAUGCAGGUUACCCGCGACUGGACAGAAAGACCCCAUGGAGCUUUACUGUAACCUGACAUUGGGUUUUGAUACAUUACGUACAGGAUAGGUGGGAGGCAUGGAAAGCUGGACGCUAGUCUGGCUGGAGCCGACGUUGGGAUACCACCCUUGAUGUAUUGAAAUUCUAACCGCGAGAGUAACGAAAUCCGGGACAGUGUCAGGCGGGCAGUUUGACUGGGGCGGUCGCCUCCGAAAGAGUAACGGAGGCGCCCAAAGGUUCCCUCAGCGCGGCCGGAAAUCGCGCGAAGAGUGUAAAGGCAGAAGGGAGCUUGACUGCGAGUCAAACACGACGAGCAGGUACGAAAGUAGGGCUUAGUGAUCCGGUGGUACCGAGUGGAAGGGCCAUCGCUCAACGGAUAAAAGCUACCCUGGGGAUAACAGGCUAAUCUCUCCCAAGAGUCCAUAUCGACGGGGAGGUUUGGCACCUCGAUGUCGGCUCAUCACAUCCUGGGGCUGAAGUCGGUCCCAAGGGUUGGGCUGUUCGCCCAUUAAAGUGGUACGUGAGCUGGGUUCAGAACGUCGUGAGACAGUUCGGUCCCUAUCCAUCGCGGGCGCAAGAGAUUUGAAGGGGGCUGCUCCUAGUACGAGAGGACCGGAGUGGACGAACCGCUGGUGUACCAAUUAUCCCGCCAGGGGUACAGUUGGGUAGCUACGUUCGGAAAGGAUAAACGCUGAAAGCAUCUAAGCGUGAAACCAGCCUUAAGAUGAGAUCUCUCAUAGAGCAAUCUAGUAAGACACCUUAAAGAAGAUGAGGUUGAUAGGUCGGGAGUGUAAGUACAGCAAUGUAUUGAGCGGACCGAUACUAAUAUGUCGAGGGCUUGACUUA